RNAcentral lists this ribosomal RNA (260 nucleotides) under uncultured bacterium. RNAcentral's name for it is "partial 16S ribosomal RNA". It matches the Rfam family "Bacterial small subunit ribosomal RNA", at positions 793 to 1055 of the family's 1533-position model. The record is from RNAcentral.
GUCCACGCCGUAAACGAUGGGUGCUAGGUGUGGGGGUGUCGACUCCCCCGUGCCGAAGCUAACGCAUUAAGCACCCCGCCUGGGGAGUACGGCCGCAAGGCUAAAACUCAAAGGAAUUGACGGGGCCCGCACAAGCAGCGGAGCAUGUGGUUUAAUUCGACGCAACGCGAAGAACCUUACCAAGGCUUGACAUGCAUUUGAAAAACCUGGAAACAGCUUCCCUCUUCGGAGCAAAUGCACAGGUGGUGCAUGGCUGUCGU